This is a non-coding RNA of Piliocolobus tephrosceles (Ugandan red Colobus), 1429 nucleotides long. NCBI's taxonomy places the organism in Eukaryota, Metazoa, Chordata, Mammalia, Primates, Cercopithecidae. The record is from the annotation of a RefSeq genome assembly.
UCUUUGUGUUCCAGACUCAUGGGGGAUUUCCUCAAAGUUUAUGAAGUUGGCCUGAAGAAAGUAGUUGCUUCGACCCCUCUUUGUGAGCCACAGGAAACUGAAAAUAGGGCAGAGUGUUUCAAGGACAUUUAUAGGAGCUGGUCUCUGAUUGGCUAGGCAACCAGAUGCAGAAUCCUGUUUUCUGAAGCUGAAUACUUCCACAGAUUUUGACUGCAAAACGUUUUUCUGCUGAGGGUACGUGAGCAGGAAACAUGGAGAAGAAUCCUUUGGCAGCCCCAUUACUAAUCCUCUGGCUUCAUCUUGACUGCGUGAGCAGCCUACUGAACGUGGAACAAAGUCCCCAGUCACUGAGUGUUCAGGAGGGAGACAGCACCAACUUCACCUGCAGCUUCCCUUCCAGCAAUUUUUAUGCCUUACACUGGUACAGAUGGGAAACUGCAAAAAUCCCCAAGGCCUUGUUUGUAAUGACUUUAAAUGGGGAUGAAAAGAAGAAAGGACGAAUAAGUGUCACUCUUAAUACCAAGGAGGGUUACAGCUAUUUGUACAUCAAAGGAUCCCAGCCUGAAGACUCAGCCACAUACCUCUGUGCCUUUGUACAGUGCUGUUCAGGCACCUGCAGCCCAUACGCAAACCUGUGUCUGGUGUUGCACUAUUACCAGCAUUGACAAAGAACCAUGAGUAGGAUGGAAAAGACAAAUCCAUUGAAUUACAGUUUUUGCUUUCAGGAGGAUUAUGCUAACAUGGAAAACUAAGCACACUAGUGAUCAUAGCUAACCACCACAAGAGCUAAUUAAGUAAACAUAUUCCUUAUGACAGACAGAUGUCAGAGUGGUAAUGAAGCAUAACACAUGACCUGGUAACUGGGCUGUUACUAAACAAUACUAACCCCAGCUCCCAAUAACACAUUAACCACAUCAUGGAGUAAGAUCCAUUGCCUGCUCUUUUGGCAUGAUUCUGAAAGAACCCAACAGUUACUCAAAUCUAUCUAAAAUGAUCUGGGUAAAUAACAGUAAUAUUUAUCCCCUCAUUGUUGCUAUGUCCUGAAAACUAAUUCUUCUAUUAUAUUUUAUCACAGCACAAAUGGAGCAUGUCGGCAUGCCCCUUCCUCACACACCUGGCAUGGAAAUAUGCAUGUUUAAUACCAGAACAGGUGAUGCUGCCUCCUUUAAUCCAUUGGGGAUUUUGGUUUUGCUUUAGUUCAACUUUCCCCCUACAUGAACAUUUGUAUUUUUAUUUCUUCUCAACUGUGGCUAUUUUCAUUUUUAAAUAUCACUCAUAAUAUUAUAAAGGAGCACUGAUGAAGGACUUUCACUAUUAACGUGUUCUAUCCCCCAGCUUGUACCACGAUUGUGAUAUUGGAAGACUAACUGAACUCUAUUAUCGAAGUCUCUUCAUUUGUAACUUCCAGGUGUAUUAAGCAGGCUGAGUG